This 74-nucleotide transfer RNA is filed under the name Klebsiella oxytoca. RNAcentral's name for it is "tRNA-Leu". It matches the Rfam family "tRNA". From Rfam's summary of the family: Transfer RNA (tRNA) molecules are approximately 80 nucleotides in length. Their secondary structure includes four short double-helical elements and three loops (D, anti-codon, and T loops). The record is from RNAcentral. Lineage: Bacteria; Pseudomonadati; Pseudomonadota; Gammaproteobacteria; Enterobacterales; Enterobacteriaceae.
GCGGGAGUGGCGAGCACCAGAUUUAGGUUCUGGCGCCGCAAGGUGUGCGAGUUCAAGUCUCGCCUCCCGCACCA